GCCCCGGGGCCCCUCGCAAGGCGGCUGCGUCCUGCAGAGCGGGGCCCGGCCGGGGUGGGGUGCGAUAAGCCCUUGUCGCCCGCUGUCCCCGCUCGGCGGUGUGUGCCACGAGCCCCCGGGAGCCCAGCGCCGCUCCACGUGCGUCUCAGCCCCGGCCGGCGAGAGGUUCAUAGCAGGCCCAGGCGCAUGGGUGGAGGCGGUAGCUGUCUGAAGUAGCCAAGAUCUUCAGUUGAUAUCGCUAAUUACCAUCUUAUGGUGCCAAAGUUUGCAAGCCUCUGUGCAGCACAGAAUGAAAUGACAUAUUCCCUGCCCCGAGGAGUUUACAAUCUGAGUGGAUCUGACAACACGAGGGUGUGACAGGACACCACGGGGUUGCAGCAGCAGGAUCAUGCUGUUGAGGACUUAACUUACUCCAGGACUACAGAUGAGAGAAAGCAACAGCUCCAGAGGCCUCUUGGGAUGGCAGGAUGGAUCUGACAACGCAAGGUGUGACAGAAUGCCACAAGGUUGCAGCAACAGAAUCCCGGGAUCCAGUGCCCAGACAAAGAGUGGAUGCUGUUGUUGGCUACAGAUUCAAAUGUCAUCUGGAUCUGGAGUCUUCCAGCUUAUGAUUUCAUCGUUGCAAAUGCUGAGUUUCAGAAGUCUGUUUAUAUGCUCUGUAAACUGAAAUGUUCAGUCUGAAAUAGUUUCAGACAUUGAAUUCUAAUGAAAACAUUUUAUGGUUGAAUUAUGCCUGCUUCCACUCUUAUAAAAAUUCUACUAAUGAUACCGAAAGUUUGCUUGUUCAUGUAUUCCCUUCAUCCGGACAAGCCAACCACAUUCAGGGAGCAGGACUUAAGGAUCUUAAAAGGCACACAUUAUUUCUGGAACAAAUCAAACAGAAUAACACCAUUAGCAUUAGCAUUGCCAUUUCCAUGAGAGGCAUAAUGUGUGGAAUUUGUUAGUUUAAGCCAGUUGCAUAUUCUAAUUUGGCAAUUUCACAUUCUGUAAAUUCCAGGAUUAAUACCAUUAUCCAACAUCACAAAAUGAGGGACCGGUGAUCUUUUGAAUGUCUCAGAGGGUAAAAUAGGUGACAGGAAAAAGUUCUGCCCACUUACGGGUUCAUCCAAGUACUGCUACGCGGAUUGGAAAGGCACCCAUUGACUUCACUGGGAACUGGAUGAGGCUCUAAACGUCAAUAAAAUCAAAGAAGUCUCACA
Molecule: long non-coding RNA, 1199 nt
Filed under: Dromaius novaehollandiae (emu)
Lineage: Eukaryota; Metazoa; Chordata; Aves; Casuariiformes; Dromaiidae
Description: lncRNA (ENSDNVG00000014216.1)
Source: RNAcentral